Long non-coding RNA from Eleginops maclovinus (Patagonian blennie), 433 nucleotides. RefSeq lists it as uncharacterized. The transcript has 3 exons. NCBI's taxonomy places the organism in Eukaryota, Metazoa, Chordata, Actinopteri, Perciformes, Eleginopidae. The record is from RefSeq and is a predicted model, not a curated record.
CCUAGAUUGAUCAGAGGACAAACUACAGGUCCCACAGGAUUGUGGAUGAAAUGCUACAGAUUCUGGGUGAAGUGGUUGAGGAGCCCAUUUUAGAGGCCAUUAAAUCAUCAAAGGCUAUUGGCCUGGAAAUUGAUGAGUCCACAGACAUCUCUGUGACAAAACAGUUAGAUCUCCAUGUCAGGUACACAGACAAGGAAGGACGGAUGUUCUGUCAAUUCCUGGAUCUUGUAUCUAUUCCAGAUGGCACAGCUAUAACUAUAGCUGAAGCUGUGAAGGAGGUCAUCAUAAGAAAAGAAAUACCUCAGGACCGCAUCUUUGGCCUUGGCACAGAUGGAGCCGCAGUGAUGACCGGAAGAAGGAACGGCACAGCAAAAUUGCUGACUGACUCCUGGCCAGGAUUAGUGUCAGUGCACUGUGCUGCUCAUCGCCUUGC